CCUACGGGAGGCAGCAGUAAGGAAUAUUGGUCAAUGGACGAAAGUCUGAACCAGCCAUGCCGCGUGGAGGAUGGAGGUCCUCUGGAUUGUAAACUUCUUUUAUAUGGGACGAAAAAGGGCCUUUCUAGGUCAACUGACGGUACCAUGUGAAUAAGCACCGGCUAACUCCGUGCCAGCAGCCGCGGUAAU
Molecule: ribosomal RNA, 189 nt
Filed under: uncultured Terrimonas sp.
Lineage: Bacteria; Pseudomonadati; Bacteroidota; Chitinophagia; Chitinophagales; Chitinophagaceae
Description: partial 16S ribosomal RNA
Rfam family: Bacterial small subunit ribosomal RNA
Source: RNAcentral